RNAcentral lists this ribosomal RNA (829 nucleotides) under Ilyonectria crassa. Its description in RNAcentral is "eukaryotic LSU rRNA". It matches the Rfam family "Eukaryotic large subunit ribosomal RNA", at positions 74 to 935 of the family's 3401-position model. RNAcentral also lists the same sequence under 3 other names. Lineage: Eukaryota; Fungi; Ascomycota; Sordariomycetes; Hypocreales; Nectriaceae. The record is from RNAcentral.
AUUGCCCUAGUAACGGCGAGUGAAGCGGCAACAGCUCAAAUUUGAAAUCUGGCCCUCGGGUCCGAAUUGUAAUUUGUAGAGGAUGCUUUUGGUGAGGUACCUUCCGAGUUCCCUGGAACGGGACGCCAUAGAGGGUGAGAGCCCCGUCUGGUUGGAUACCGAUCCUCUGUAAAGCUCCUUCGACGAGUCGAGUAGUUUGGGAAUGCUGCUCUAAAUGGGAGGUAUAUGUCUUCUAAAGCUAAAUAUUGGCCAGAGACCGAUAGCGCACAAGUAGAGUGAUCGAAAGAUGAAAAGCACUUUGAAAAGAGAGUUAAAAAGUACGUGAAAUUGUUGAAAGGGAAGCGCUCAUGACCAGACUUGGGCUUGGUUGAUCAUCCAGGGUUCUCCCUGGUGCACUCUUCCAGCCCAGGCCAGCAUCAGUUCGCUGUGGGGGAUAAAGGCUUUGGGAAUGUGGCUCCUCCGGGAGUGUUAUAGCCCAUUGUGUAAUACCCUGUGGUGGACUGAGGUUCGCGCAUCUGCAAGGAUGCUGGCGUAAUGGUCAUCAGCGACCCGUCUUGAAACACGGACCAAGGAGUCGUCUUCGUAUGCGAGUGUUCGGGUGUUAAACCCCUACGCGUAAUGAAAGUGAACGCAGGUGAGAGCUUCGGCGCAUCAUCGACCGAUCCUGAUGUUCUCGGAUGGAUUUGAGUAAGAGCAUACGGGGCCGGACCCGAAAGAAGGUGAACUAUGCCUGUAUAGGGUGAAGCCAGAGGAAACUCUGGUGGAGGCUCGCAGCGGUUCUGACGUGCAAAUCGAUCGUCAAAUAUGGGCAUGGGGGCGAAAGACUAAU